Molecule: ribosomal RNA, 274 nt
Filed under: uncultured bacterium
Lineage: Bacteria
Description: partial 16S ribosomal RNA
Rfam family: Bacterial small subunit ribosomal RNA
Source: RNAcentral
AUACGGAGGGGGUUAGCGUUGUUCGGAAUUACUGGGCGUAAAGCGGGUGUAGGCGGUGGAUCAAGUCAGAUGUGAAAGCCCUCGGCUCAACCGAGGAAGUGCAUCUGAAACUGGUUCACUAGAGUACGGGAGAGGAGAGUGGAAUUCCCAGUGUAGAGGUGAAAUUCGUAGAUAUUGGGAGGAACACCGGUGGCGAAGGCGGCUCUCUGGAACGAUACUGACGCUGAGACCCGAAAGCGUGGGGAGCAAACAGGAUUAGAAACCCGAGUAGUCC